GAGGGUAUGACUCAAGUGGUAGAGCAUGUGCUUAGCAUGCACGAGGUCCUGGGUUCAAUCCCCAGUACCUCCU
RNAcentral lists this transfer RNA (73 nucleotides) under Camelus bactrianus (Bactrian camel). It matches the Rfam family "tRNA". Rfam says of the family: Transfer RNA (tRNA) molecules are approximately 80 nucleotides in length. Their secondary structure includes four short double-helical elements and three loops (D, anti-codon, and T loops). RNAcentral also lists the same sequence under 3 other names. Lineage: Eukaryota; Metazoa; Chordata; Mammalia; Artiodactyla; Camelidae. The record is from Rfam by way of RNAcentral.